RNAcentral lists this ribosomal RNA (468 nucleotides) under uncultured bacterium. RNAcentral's name for it is "partial 16S ribosomal RNA". It matches the Rfam family "Bacterial small subunit ribosomal RNA", at positions 28 to 507 of the family's 1533-position model. The record is from RNAcentral.
GACGAACGCUGGCGGCGUGCUUAACACAUGCAAGUCGAACGGAAAGGCCCUGCUUUUGUGGGGUGCUCGAGUGGCGAACGGGUGAGUAACACGUGAGUAACCUGCCCUUGACUUUGGGAUAACUUCAGGAAACUGGGGCUAAUACCGGAUAGGAGCUCCUGCUGCAUGGUGGGGGUUGGAAAGUUUCGGCGGUUGGGGAUGGACUCGCGGCUUAUCAGCUUGUUGGUGGGGUAGUGGCUUACCAAGGCUUUGACGGGUAGCCGGCCUGAGAGGGUGACCGGGCACAUUGGGACUGAGAGACGGCCCAGACUCCUACGGGAGGCAGCAGGGGGGAGUAUUGCACAAUGGGCGGAAGCCUGAUGCAGCAACGCCGCGUGCGGGAUGACGGCCUUCGGGUUGUAAACCGCUUUCGCAUGUGACGAAGCGUGAGUGACGGUAAUGGGUAAAGAAGCACCGGCUAACUACGUG